This is a long non-coding RNA of Centruroides sculpturatus (bark scorpion), 965 nucleotides long. RefSeq lists it as uncharacterized. The transcript has 4 exons. NCBI's taxonomy places the organism in Eukaryota, Metazoa, Arthropoda, Arachnida, Scorpiones, Buthidae. The record is from RefSeq and is a predicted model, not a curated record.
AGCGGAUACUAACGAUAGCGAUACCCAUCGAAAUCGAUGGUUAUUAAGUUCACAUUUUUCGGCUUUAUUCGGUUUCUCGCAAGGGAACUGUCGGAGUGUCUUAAUAAAUUUCGUUAAUGUAUAGCUAGGUAACUAAAAUGGCGGCGCUUCCGACUGAUUCCUUCCGGAGGGGAGCCGCCGAGUAUUUAACGUCACUAGUUACCGAAUUAAAUGUAAAUAUUCAAAAUAUUCUAGCGGAAUUUAAACGUUUAUGUGAUAAUAUCUGGCCUACAGAAGAAAUUUGUAAGCCUAUUAUUUCGGAUAUUGAUAAACAGGUAUCGGUCAUGGCGGCACUUCGGUAAUAAUCUCGAAGUAGGUGUUAAGUUGUGUCGUGUAGUUAAAACCAGGUGGCGUUGGUAAUAUCUGCUGUUGAUGCGGUGAAUUUGAAUUCGCAAGAUUAGGAUUGUUCGAGUUUUGAAAUGGAUUUUAAGAAUUUAACAUCAAGGAAGUUUUUUCGUUGUUUGGAAUUAGAUUAUUAAGAAGGCGAGAAGAAGCAUUAAAAGAUGUGACCAAUACAUCUGACACGGGUUUCAAACAAGGUAACUCUGUGAACGUUCCGUUUCAAGCAAUAAACAAGUUAGAAAAAGACAUUGCCUUGAAUAUAAGUUACAUAAAAAAUGAAAAUUUUUAUUCUUGUGUUGUUUAACAGAAAUUAAAAUGCUUUUAAUUGUAAGGGAUCCCCAUAACAAUACAUCUGGCAAGUGUGAUUCAUAUAAAACACUAUUUGUUGCAAGAAUUAACUCUCGUACAAAAGAAUCAACAUAAAAAAAAAGAAUUUGAAGUUUUCGGACCCAUAAAAAAAUUGAACUUGUGCGCAAUAAAAAUACUGAAAAAUCAAGAGGGUAUGCCUUUAUACAAUAUGAACAUGAACAAGAUAUACAUUAGUAGUAAUUCAAACACAAAUAAUUAUCGUAUUUAUCUUCAGG